CACCUCGGCGAGAUUUUGGCGGCGCGAGUAAAGUGAGCUGGCUGCCGCGCCUGCGGUCCGAGUCUCACGGCUCACAGGCCCGCACCCUGGCCUCCGAAGGGGUGGCGGCGGGCCGGCGCUGGUGGGUGGCAGGCCGGGCCUCGCGCUCUUCUCAGGGUCCUCCGCCGCCGCCAGGCGCUCGCUCGAUUCCGUCCGUGCAGAUUGAGGGCCAGGAGCCGCCAGGCUGCUCCCGCGCCUCACGUCCAGACAGGGGGGAGGUCAGCGCAGGUACCCCGAGGCGUGCAGGCUGGAAUAACCCGCGUCCGGAAAAGACGGGUCACCAAAACCUUGAAGUGAUUCCUUUCGCCCAAGAUGGUUUAAGCAAGAACUCAAACUCAUGGAAUAAAAGGAGGACCCAGGAAUACACUGCCGGCAGCCCACUAACCACUACGUGACACUGCCUCUGUUUACCGUUCGUUUCUUGUCCUGGCACAGCAGACCACACAUUCGUCAGGUCCUCAUGUGAUCGGGCUCAUCACAUCGCUCCCCAUCUGCUGGGACAUGGUGCCAGUACGUGACCCAGAAAUCGAGGGCCGUACAGAGGAUGGACAGAUGCACCUGGGCCAGGAGACAAGAAUACAGGCGACUGCAGGGGGCGCCUGCGUGGCACAGCGGUUAAGCGUCUGCCUUCGGAUCAGGGUGUGAUCCUGGCGUUGUGGGAUCGAGCCCCACAUCAGGCUCUUCUGCAAUGAGCCUGCUUCUUCCUCUCCCACUC
Molecule: long non-coding RNA, 754 nt
Organism: Ailuropoda melanoleuca (giant panda)
Lineage: Eukaryota; Metazoa; Chordata; Mammalia; Carnivora; Ursidae
Exons: 3
Source: RefSeq, a predicted model, not a curated record